UGGCGUAAACAGAGGGAAGCGAGCCUGCGAGGGGGAGCGAAUCCCAAAAAUAACGUCCCAGUUCGGAUUGUAGUCUGCAACCCGACUACAUGAAGCUGGAAUCGCUAGUAAUCGCGGAUCAGAAUGCCGCGGUGAAUACGUUCCCGGGUCUUGUACACACCGCCCGUCACACCAUGGGAGUCGGAAAUGCCCGAAGUCUGUGACCCAACCUUAGGGAGGGAGCAGCCGAAGGCAGGUCGGAGGACUGGGGUGAAGUCGUAACAAGGUAAC
This 270-nucleotide ribosomal RNA is filed under the name uncultured bacterium. RNAcentral describes it as "partial 16S ribosomal RNA". It matches the Rfam family "Bacterial small subunit ribosomal RNA", at positions 1231 to 1500 of the family's 1533-position model. The record is from RNAcentral.